This 1226-nucleotide long non-coding RNA is filed under the name Notechis scutatus (mainland tiger snake). RNAcentral's name for it is "lncRNA (ENSNSUG00000011572.1)". Lineage: Eukaryota; Metazoa; Chordata; Lepidosauria; Squamata; Elapidae. The record is from RNAcentral.
CAUGACUCAUCCUGGGUUUUUUAUUCUUUUUUUUUUUUUUGCCCCUUUUUAAGGAUUUGAAAGAAAAGAAGGAAGUUGUGGAAGAAACAGAAAAUGGCAGGGAUGCUCCCGCCAACGGCAAUGCCAACGAGGAAAAUGGCGAGCAGGAGGCGGACAACGAGGUAGAUGACGAAGAGGAAGAGGUUGGCGACGAAGAGGAGGAUGAGGAAGAAGGUGACGGACGACGACGUCGAUCCGAAGAAGCAGAAAACCGACGAAGACGACUAGGGAGUAGAAUAAUAAAAAAGAAAGAAACAACUUUUUUUUAAACUUAAGAAAAGAGGGAAAAACAUUUUUUUAAGAAAAAGGCCAGCGUGAACUUCUUUCACCUUUGAAAACUUCCUGUUACAAAAAAGAAGAAAAAAACCACGUUUCCCCUUGUUGCUAAUGGUCACCGUCAUAAAGUAGAGCAAACAAACAAACAAAAAAAAAUCCACCCCAACCCCAGUAAAAGCCGAAUGGCCGUAGAGCUGCCAUUUUUUUUCCCAACUUGUAAAAAAAAAAAACCCCCCCAACAGCCCAAAAAUCUAUCUCCCUUCUCCCCUCCCCUCGGGAAAACUUCAAGGCCCAGCUUGCUUUCUUAAAAGUAACUUUAAAAGGAGAAUUUGUUUGUAUUUUUUAUUUACAUUUUAUAUUUUUGUACAUAUUGUGAUGAGGUCAGCCAUUUUUAACGCGAUCUCCAUUGACCAAAAGGGGGGAGGGGUGUGCUUUUGAAGUGCUUUUCUUUUUUUUCUUCUUUUUCCUUUGUUCCUAUAAACGAAACGAAACAAACGAAAAAUAAUUCUUGACUUUACUUGUGGUGUGACCGUGUCCAAAAACCAUUAUCUCAAAAAAGGAGAAGAAAACUUAAAAAAAACGACCUUGUAAAAAAAUAAUAAUAAUAAUUUCAAAAACACACACAAAAAAAGUCCAAGGUUUAUGACAAGCAUUCCAGUAACACUUUUUUUUUGUGUGUAUGUACUUUUACCUGUACCAUAAAGUAGUGGGUUUGUGAGAUGGCAAGGCCAAAGAUUAAAAGAUUUUUUUCCUUUGUUUUUUUUUUUUUUCUCCUUUUCGUUCUUUUUAUUUUUGUCUAAGGAGUUGCUGUUAAUUUUUUUUUUCUUCUUCUUUUUGGCCUGUUUUAUGUAUGUGUGAAAACAAUAUUGUCCAACAAUAAACCGGAAUUUUAUUUUGCUGGGUUGUUCUAA